GAACGCUAGCUACAGGCUUAACACAUGCAAGUCGAGGGGCAGCAUGGUCUUAGCUUGCUAAGGCCGAUGGCGACCGGCGCACGGGUGAGUAACACGUAUCCAACCUGCCGUCUACUCUUGGACAGCCUUCUGAAAGGAAGAUUAAUACAAGAUGGCAUCAUGAGUCCGCAUGUUCACAUGAUUAAAGGUAUUCCGGUAGACGAUGGGGAUGCGUUCCAUUAGAUAGUAGGCGGGGUAACGGCCCACCUAGUCUUCGAUGGAUAGGGGUUCUGAGAGGAAGGUCCCCCACAUUGGAACUGAGACACGGUCCAAACUCCUACGGGAGGCAGCAGUGAGGAAUAUUGGUCAAUGGGCGAGAGCCUGAACCAGCCAAGUAGCGUGAAGGAUGACUGCCCUAUGGGUUGUAAACUUCUUUUAUAAAGGAAUAAAGUCGGGUAUGGAUACCCGUUUGCAUGUACUUUAUGAAUAAGGAUCGGCUAACUCCGUGCCAGCAGCCGCGGUAAUACGGAGGAUCCGAGCGUUAUCCGGAUUUAUUGGGUUUAAAGGGAGCGUAGAUGGAUGUUUAAGUCAGUUGUGAAAGUUUGCGGCUCAACCGUAAAAUUGCAGUUGAUACUGGAUAUCUUGAGUGCAGUUGAGGCAGGCGGAAUUCGUGGUGUAGCGGUGAAAUGCUUAGAUAUCACGAAGAACUCCGAUUGCGAAGGCAGCCUGCUAAGCUGCAACUGACAUUGAGGCUCGAAAGUGUGGGUAUCAAACAGGAUUAGAUACCCUGGUAGUCCACACGGUAAACGAUGAAUACUCGCUGUUUGCGAUAUACGGCAAGCGGCCAAGCGAAAGCGUUAAGUAUUCCACCUGGGGAGUACGCCGGCAACGGUGAAACUCAAAGGAAUUGACGGGGGCCCGCACAAGCGGAGGAACAUGUGGUUUAAUUCGAUGAUACGCGAGGAACCUUACCCGGGCUUAAAUUGCAGAUGAAUUACGGUGAAAGCCGUAAGCCGCAAGGCAUCUGUGAAGGUGCUGCAUGGUUGUCGUCAGCUCGUGCCGUGAGGUGUCGGCUUAAGUGCCAUAACGAGCGCAACCCUUGUUGUCAGUUACUAACAGGUUCCGCUGAGGACUCUGACAAGACUGCCAUCGUAAGAUGUGAGGAAGGUGGGGAUGACGUCAAAUCAGCACGGCCCUUACGUCCGGGGCUACACACGUGUUACAAUGGGGGGUACAGAGGGCCGCUACCACGCGAGUGGAUGCCAAUCCCAAAAACCUCUCUCAGUUCGGACUGGAGUCUGCAACCCGACUCCACGAAGCUGGAUUCGCUAGUAAUCGCGCAUCAGCCACGGCGCGGUGAAUACGUUCCCGGGCCUUGUACACACCGCCCGUCAAGCCGUGGGAGCCGGGGGUACCUGAAGUGCGUAACCGCGAGGAGCGCCCUAGGGUAAAACUGGUGACUGGGGCUAAG
This 1450-nucleotide ribosomal RNA is filed under the name uncultured organism. Its description in RNAcentral is "SSU rRNA". It matches the Rfam family "Bacterial small subunit ribosomal RNA". The record is from RNAcentral.